Molecule: ribosomal RNA, 449 nt
Filed under: uncultured bacterium
Lineage: Bacteria
Description: partial 16S ribosomal RNA
Rfam family: Bacterial small subunit ribosomal RNA
Source: RNAcentral
AGCGAACGCUGGCGGCAGGCCUAACACAUGCAAGUCGAGCGCCGUAGCAAUACGGAGCGGCAGACGGGAGAGUAACACGUGGGAACGUACCCUUCAGUACGGAACAACCAAGGGAAACUUUGGCUAAUACCGUAUACGUCCGUAAGGAGAAAGAUUUAUCGCUGAAGGAUCGGCCCGCGUCUGAUUAGCUAGUUGGUGAGGUAACGGCUCACCAAGGCGACGAUCAGUAGCUGGUCUGAGAGGAUGAUCAGCCUCACUGGGACUGAGACGCGGCACAGACUCCUACGGGAGGCAGCAGUGGGGAAUAUUGGACAAUGGGCGCAAGCCUGAUCCAGCCAUGCCGCGUGGGUGAUGAAAGCCCUAGGGUUGUAAAGCCCUUUCGGCGGGGAAGAUAAUGACGGUACCCGCAGAAGAAGCCCCGGCUAACUUCGUGCCAGCCGCCGCCGUAA